CCCACUCUAAGCCCACACAGUUCCCAACACCCCAGAAGGAGAUUCUGUGGAAGUUCUGCAAGGUGAUCACUUCAAUCCCCUGAAACACUGAAACCAAUAUCUUCUCCACCAAGAUGAGCUGAUAGGCUGUGAAAGAUACUGGAGUGACAGCUCUUCUGCAUUGAUCCAGUACAGAGAAUAGCCAUGGAAUUUCUGUUUGCACCUUCCAGGGUUCAGAGCUGGAAAAUGAUAAGAGACAGGACAGACUGCAAUCUUCUUCAAGCAAAAGGAGUGAAGAAAAAUCCUUUGGUUUGUUUUCCUGAAAUGAAGCACUUCUAACUGCGGUUGAACUGAAGCAACUGGGAUUCCUGCUCAAGGGAAUGAGUACCACUGGCACCAGAGCCCUUCUGGGUAAACUGUAGUCCCUUGGCUAAAUCCCACCACCCCAUCACCCAAUGAAGAGCAUUGUUAGCAAUGGUGAUCUUCUGAAGGAAUCAGGCCAUGAUGACUUGAAUCAUUAUUAUACAGCUGAUGUCAUUUCCACAGCCCAGCUGACAAGGAUUUCACAAUGGUAUUCUUCAUUUGAAAGAAUACCAUUACAGAACACUAUUUAAACAGCUCGUAACAUUUCAGUUAGCACCAGUGACUGGAAUGGGGCCUUAGACACAAGAAUGGACAUUUAUGAGUAUGUGAAUUGGGGGAAAAUCAUGUUGGCUUGAUGGUAUUUCCUCUCAUACUUUUUGUCUUUGGGGAAGUGCUGGCACGGUAUUGCAAAGCAGGACAGGUAGAGCUGGAAGCACAUAUAUGACCCAAAUCAUCUUCAUACAGGAGAAUCUUAGACUUUACUUUUUUCCAUUGUUCUCUAUAAUGGAAGGGAGUUGUGCAUGUGAAAGUCAAUUUAUAAUAAAUAAGCAAUUUAUAUAUGCAUUGAAAAAAUCUCUGAAUUAAGAAGCAGAAUGAGGACUGACAGAAAAAUCAAUAUUGUAUAUUUAAGCCUAGACUUAAAGCAAAUGACACUGCAAAUUUAAUUCACAUGUUUAACUUGUUCACAAUUGUCAAUGCACUUUCUAUACAAGUACAUUGAUGCAUAUGGAGAUUUAAGGCAUAUGUUGCAUGAAUUUAACAAUACAGAUUGAACAAGAACACAUCUCCUAUCAGAUUAAUUACAUAAUUAGCAGGAAAAUCCAUCAAAUUGCUUUAUGAAUUCAAAUGAGAAAGUCAUGGAAGUUUUUUGAGGUUUAUUUUUUCUGUGGAGGCAACAAUAGUGCACAUUCUGUACAUUUCACAGAUUGUAUUUAGUAUCAAAGAGAGAUAUGUUAACAGCAAACUAGUUGUGUGCAAAUUAAAAGAUGUGUGCAAAGUGGACAGAUUUGGAAAGCUGGAGGACCCUAACUGUAGGAAAUGCAUUAACAUCAGUGACACCUGUACCUCCCUCCUCUAUCCCAUUUUCCUAAAGAGAAAGAAAACCAGAAUGUUGCAAUGUCUAUAAUAUCCCUAUAAUUCAUGCCAAUACCACACCUAGGCCUUUUGGUGUCCUUGCCUUUCAUAGUGUGAGGGAAGCAAACACUGAUUAGUAGUGCAAAAGGGAGGACAAAGGUUCUCUGUGCCCUGCUGUAGCUGCAAAUGUUUAAAAUGCAUGUACCUGCCAAAGAUGGAAACUGGGGGACUCCCAGAAGGGAUGUCACAGUCACGACCUGAAGGAACACUUCAGGGUGCAUUAGAAGUCAAGUCUAGGUAAACCCCAAAACUUUUGUGGUGUUUUUGUUUCACAAAUAGGUCCCUGGUAAAAGACAUUGAAACUAGAGGGGCUGCAUGUCAGUGCCCUGUGCCAGCUCAGUAUCAAUCCAGCAGGAACUGCAAUUUUCCAGACUACUUGUUAUGCACAAUUUCAGUGUCAUAGUCAUUAGAAAGGCUCCCUGUUAAUCUCAAGCUCUCUCAUGCUCCUCACUGGGCCCUCAAUAAGAAGCAUAACCCACAGAAGUAUAAGAACAAUACAGGUAAAAAAUGGUAAGUAUCAAACUUGACCUUAAAAUUCUUUCAAGACAACAUAUUUACAUCUAGAUUCCUUAGCCCAGCUUCAGGGAGUUUUGUGACUCAUUUACUCACAAUGACAAACCUUGCCCCUCCAUCACUUUCCAGCAAUCCUAUCUGUUUUAUAAAUCAGCAAGGGAGUCAAAUAAUGCCCCUUGUAAGUCAGAUUCUCUUGUGCCAGUCAGUUCUCUUGUGAGCACCAUGAACAUGGAUAUGCUACCUGCCAGUCACACACACACUUCAUACCUGCUGUCAAAGAACACUGAAAGCUUGCUUUGUUUGAUUAGAAAAUCCACAACCAUUCUUACCAAGUGAGAGAAAUUCACUUUAUAAUUAGUGUCAUCUACUCUAUGUUCUAAUAAUUAUGAUUACCAGUUUAAUGACAAAGUGAUGCUACAUAUGCCAAGGUCAUUUAGCCACAGGUAAGAGAGUGUGGCAUUGUACACUGGUACAGAUGUUGGGCACAGAAAAAGAGAGUAGAAUUUGAAAAGGGACAAAUGAAAAGGAAAAAAAAAGAGAUAUGAAAAUUAUAAAUGGCAGACUGGCACAGCCAAAAAAGGUGGAGUAGGGCAAAAAAACAGGAAUAAAGUUCACAGGGAAAAAAAUCUCCAAGCUAGUGUAUCUAAAUUUAAUUUUUAUUAUAUGUCUUUUAAAAUAUUAAAAAACAAUGUGUUAAAAAUGCCUUAGAAAUUCUGUGUCUAGGUGCCCCAAGCAGGAGUUCUGCAAGCCUUUAACAUCUUGGUAGUCCAGUCACUGCACAUACAGGAACAAGCAGUGUAAGCUUUGGCCAGCUGUGCAUAUGACAACACAGAACAUAGAUUUUGACUUAAACAAAUGUUCAACAGGCUUAAAGGCAUUUGACAGCUACACCACAAACCUUCUGAGAGUUAUUUCACCUUCUGUUCAGUUUGUGAAAGACACAGUUAAGAAAAAGUACAGCCAGAUUUCUGCAGAGAAAGUCUGUUAAACAGUAAAGUUUCUUUGUGCACCACAUACCAGCUGCUUUGGAUCAUCCUAUACGAUAAAGCUUCCAAUACAAUCUUCUAUCAUGAGGCAAUUUAACCCCAGAGUGGAAACCUGAAGAAAGCAGUAUGGUAAAACAUUUGACAGAAGAAACUACAAAAGCUUCAGGGUUUCUCUGGCUUACAGAAAGGGAACAGUUUAGGAACACAGGCAAUAAAAGGCUGUAUACUCCAACUGAGAAUGUAUUUCUCAAACACAGAAUAAUUCUGCCUCCCUCCUGAUUUCAAAUACAGACAUUCCGCAGAAGGGAUAACAACUGUAGUGCACCUGCUUCACUUAAGCCCAUUAGAAAAUUUUCCCCUGGGAAUGACCUUCCAUACCCCACCACAAGGCUGAGCAAUAGAAGAUGCAGAGGAAUAAGGUCCUGUAAAAUGAACUCACCAGGCAAAUCAAACAGAACUUUGAUUUCACUCUCCAUGAUGUCCAAGCUGAGACACAUCUAGUUCUCCUUUAGCUCUGAGAGGGAGGCAUAACUGUGGGAAGAAACAAAGUCUGAGUUGUUUAAGUGUAAAAAUACAUACAGCAUGCUUUAAAGGAAUUAUGACACUUCAUCUUGAUAUGCUGUAUUGUUCCACCUAAUAAUAAAAAUCCAAUUAUUCCA
Non-coding RNA from Cyanistes caeruleus (blue tit), 3634 nucleotides. Lineage: Eukaryota; Metazoa; Chordata; Aves; Passeriformes; Paridae. The record is from RefSeq and is a predicted model, not a curated record.